GGUGCGAUUUUUCUUUUCUCCUGAUAAACAACAAAAUCACAUCUCUGUGUGUAAACUCUAACCUUAAAUAUUCUUAUAAAUCGCUCAAAAAAGAGUUGGUUAUCGAGCAUCAAGGAACAAUGCUCAAGGAACAAUGCUCAGUUUAAAAUAUUCCAUAUUCUAAGGUAACAGAGAUGGAUACAUGAGCGUAGCCGAUAUUUUAAUUCCUAAGGGAAAUUUUAGAAGACCAUCUUCAGAGGCAUACUGCAUUUCCGGAACCAAGUUUCCGUUACAGUCCUUUUUGAUUUAUCAAGUCUCAAGCUCUAUACUCCCUCCGUCUCUAAAAUAUAGGCAGGUUUCUUUAUUUGGGUAUGUCAAAAAAAAUAGGCUUGUUUCCAUAUGUGGAAAGUCAAAUGUUAUGAUUUUACUACUAUACUCAUAGAGGGGCCACUUCUCUCUCUCCUUUUUCUCUCCUAAUAUAAAAAGGGGACCACUUCUCUCUCCUUUUUCUCUAAUAACAAAUGAGUGGGGAUCAAAGGAUAGUUUAGAAAAAAACAUGAAAAAGUGGUUAUAAUGAUUAGUUUUUUUAAUUUUUGUGAAAACUAAACUUGCCUAUUUUUUUAGAAACGAAGGGAAUAUCAUUCAGUAUCGAAUAGCUCUCAUUUGUCAAUAUAUGUCCUGUCAGGUUUGUAGUUAGACUUUAAAGAAUUGAAUUUUGUAUGUUUUGAUUUGGUUAACUUUACUAAUUCAAUAGAGCAUACUUGCACACCUGAUGAGAAUAUUCUAAGAAGAUUUGUAACAACUGAUCAUGAUGUAAACCUCAAUUUUCAUUAAACUGUGUUUUACGAAGCUCCUUUUGCGAUCCGAUAACAACUAAUAAGUAUUAUUACUGUGAAAAGCGAAUGAAAAGGAUCUUGCUAGGGAGAAAAGAAAGAUUCCGAAGGAAGAACUGAUGCUAAAGAGAGCAUUACAGCAUCGGUUGCAUUUUUCUUUUCUUUUUUAGAUUCUGUGAUUUUCAUUUAAUCAAAAUACAUUUUCGCUUUACCUAACUGUUGUAUUGUUUUGAUUUGGAGAUUGGUGCUAUGAACAACUAAAAAACAAAGUGAAGUUUUUAGAAGUAAGCUCACUUGGAAAUCAGAGGAUAGUAAAUUACCAAGAGUAUUAUACCAACCUGGACCGAAUUCUAUAUAUCUCAUCUUUGUCUUUAUUGCAUAUUUGCAGCCAAUCAGAGAAUGUGAAGAUGAUUAUAAAAAUAAAUAAAUAAAUA
Molecule: long non-coding RNA, 1246 nt
Organism: Papaver somniferum (opium poppy)
Lineage: Eukaryota; Viridiplantae; Streptophyta; Magnoliopsida; Ranunculales; Papaveraceae
Exons: 3
Source: RefSeq, a predicted model, not a curated record